Molecule: unclassified non-coding RNA, 131 nt
Filed under: uncultured fungus
Lineage: Eukaryota; Fungi
Description: sequence contains ITS1
Source: RNAcentral
UUACUUGUUAUGAUAAAAUACGUUCCUGACUCAAAAGUUUGUAGGUCCGGAGACCACAGUGCACAGGUGUAUGAAGGGAAAAGUGCUUGCGCACAUCUCUAAUGAUCCUUCCGCAGGUUCACCUACGGAAA